GUAUCUCUUUAUAAGAUUUGACCUUAGGCGAAUCGGGCACCGGUCUCGAAAACCGGUGACCCCUUUUGGGGUCCGAGGGUUCGAAUCCCUCCCUCU
RNAcentral lists this transfer RNA (96 nucleotides) under Gemmatales bacterium. Its description in RNAcentral is "tRNA-Ser". The record is from RNAcentral. Lineage: Bacteria; Pseudomonadati; Planctomycetota; Planctomycetia; Gemmatales.